UACAGAGGGGGCAAGCGUUGUUCGGAAUUACUGGGCGUAAAGGGCGCGUAGGUGGCCCGCUAAGUCGAACGUGAAAAUCCCCCGAGCUCAACUCGGGAACUGCGUCCGAUACUGGUGGGCUUGAAUCCGGGAGAGGGAUGCGGAAUUCCAGGUGUAGCGGUGAAAUGCGUAGAUAUCUGGAGGAACACCGGUGGCGAAGGCGGCAUCCUGGACCGGCAUUGACGCUGAGGCGCGAAAGCUAGGGGAGCAAACGGGG
RNAcentral lists this ribosomal RNA (256 nucleotides) under uncultured bacterium. RNAcentral's name for it is "partial 16S ribosomal RNA". It matches the Rfam family "Bacterial small subunit ribosomal RNA", at positions 524 to 777 of the family's 1533-position model. The record is from RNAcentral.